AAGGUUACAAUACAAAGACAGAAUUCUAAAUCCCAAGAACUUCUUCUUGUAUGAAACCUCCACUUGAUCUGAGCUCGAUCAAGAUUUUCCUGCAAGAAAUUGCAAACAAUUCACCGGUUUCACGACCUGUUUGCGAAAUCACCCGAUUUCCAAACGCAACGCUGCGGCUGAAUCUGUUCUGCAAACGUGACUAACAAACCCGCAAGAACACUCCAGUUCUUGAAGGAAAAACCAGUUGGUUUUUCCUCGAAACCCCCUUCAAUCUUCAACUCAGCUAGAUCCUCG
This 285-nucleotide long non-coding RNA is filed under the name Lathyrus oleraceus (garden pea). RNAcentral describes it as "Pisum sativum (pea) long non-coding RNA (PSAT_LNC024146)". The record is from RNAcentral. Lineage: Eukaryota; Viridiplantae; Streptophyta; Magnoliopsida; Fabales; Fabaceae.